RNAcentral lists this ribosomal RNA (460 nucleotides) under uncultured bacterium. Its description in RNAcentral is "partial 16S ribosomal RNA". It matches the Rfam family "Bacterial small subunit ribosomal RNA", at positions 338 to 795 of the family's 1533-position model. The record is from RNAcentral.
CCUACGGGAGGCUGCAGUGAGGAAUAUUGGUCAAUGGACGAGAGUCUGAACCAGCCAAGUAGCGUGAAGGAUGACUGCCCUAUGGGUUGUAAACCUCUUUUAUCUGGGAAUAAAACGUUCCACGUGUGGGAUUUUGUAUGUACAAUAUGAAUAAGGAUCGGCUAACUCCGUGCCAGCAGCCGCGGUAAUACGGAGGAUCCGAGCGUUAUCCGGAUUUAUUGGGUUUAAAGGGGGCGUAGGUGGAUUGUUAAGUCAGUUGUGAAAGUUUGCGGCUCAACCGUAAAAUUGCAGUUGAAACUGGCAGUCUUGAGUACAGUAGAGGUGGGCGGAAUUCGUGGUGUAGCGGUGAAAUGCUUAGAUAUCACGAAGAACUCCGAUUGCGAAGGCAGUUCACUGGACUGCAACUGACACUGAGGCUCGAAAGUGUGGGUAUCAAACAGGAUUAGAUACCCCAGUAGUC